This 809-nucleotide ribosomal RNA is filed under the name Akkermansiaceae bacterium. RNAcentral's name for it is "bacterial SSU rRNA". It matches the Rfam family "Bacterial small subunit ribosomal RNA", at positions 729 to 1533 of the family's 1533-position model. The record is from RNAcentral. Lineage: Bacteria; Pseudomonadati; Verrucomicrobiota; Verrucomicrobiia; Verrucomicrobiales; Akkermansiaceae.
CUGGACAUUUACUGACGCUCAGACACGAAGGCUAGGGGAGCGAAAGGGAUUAGAUACCCCUGUAGUCCUAGCAGUAAACGGUGCUCGCUUGGUGUGGGGAGGUUCGACCCUCUCUGUGCCGGAGCUAACGCGUUAAGCGAGCCGCCUGGGAAGUACGGUCGCAAGACUAAAACUCAAAGAAAUUGACGGGGACCCGCACAAGCGGUGGAGUAUGUGGCUUAAUUCGAUGCAACGCGAAGAACCUUACCUAGGCUUGACAUGCUUGUCGUAUUCUCCCGAAAAGGAGAAGUCGCUUCGGGCGGACAAUGCACAGGUGCUGCAUGGCCGUCGUCAGCUCGUGUCGUGAGAUGUUUGGUUAAGUCCAGCAACGAGCGCAACCCCUGUGAACUGUUGCCAGCGGAUAAUGCCGGGGACUCUGUUCAGACUGCCCAGAUCAACUGGGAGGAAGGUGGGGACGACGUCAGGUCAGUAUGGCCCUUACGCCUAGGGCUGCACACGUACUACAAUGCCCAGCACAAUGAGAACCAAUACCGCGAGGUGGAGGAAAUCUGUAAAACUGGGCCCAGUUCGGAUUGGAGGCUGCAACUCGCCUCCAUGAAGUUGGAAUCGCUAGUAAUGCCGUAUCAGCUACGACGGCGUGAAUACGUUCCCGGGUCUUGUACACACCGCCCGUCACAUCAUGGAAGUCGGUCGCACCCGAAGUAUAUGCGCUAACUUUCGAGAAGCAGUAUCCUAAGGUGAGGCUGGUAACUGGGAUGAAGUCGUAACAAGGUAGCCGUAGGGGAACCUGCGGCUGGAUCACCUCCUUU